RNAcentral lists this ribosomal RNA (254 nucleotides) under uncultured bacterium. Its description in RNAcentral is "partial 16S ribosomal RNA". It matches the Rfam family "Bacterial small subunit ribosomal RNA", at positions 524 to 776 of the family's 1533-position model. The record is from RNAcentral.
UACGAAGGGGGCUAGCGUUGCUCGGAAUCACUGGGCGUAAAGCGCACGUAGGCGGAUUCCUAAGUCGGGGGUGAAAUCCCGAGGCUCAACCUCGGAACUGCCUUCGAUACUGGCGACCUUCGAGUCCGGGAGAGGUGAGUGGAACUCCGAGUGUAGAGGUGAAAUUCGUAGAUAUUCGGAAGAACACCAGUGGCGAAGGCGGCUCACUGGCCCGGUACUGACGCUGAGAUACGAAAGCGUGGGGAGCAAACAGG